This 73-nucleotide transfer RNA is filed under the name Ailuropoda melanoleuca (giant panda). It matches the Rfam family "tRNA". Rfam says of the family: Transfer RNA (tRNA) molecules are approximately 80 nucleotides in length. Their secondary structure includes four short double-helical elements and three loops (D, anti-codon, and T loops). Further hydrogen bonds mediate the characteristic L-shaped molecular structure. tRNAs have two regions of fundamental functional importance: the anti-codon, which is responsible for specific mRNA codon recognition, and the 3' end, to which the tRNAs corresponding amino acid is attached (by aminoacyl-tRNA synthetases). tRNAs cope with the degeneracy of the genetic code in two manners: having more than one tRNA (with a specific anti-codon) for a particular amino acid; and 'wobble' base-pairing, i.e. permitting non-standard base-pairing at the 3rd anti-codon position. Lineage: Eukaryota; Metazoa; Chordata; Mammalia; Carnivora; Ursidae. The record is from Rfam by way of RNAcentral.
GCCUGGCUGGCGCGGGUGGUAGAGCGUAAGACUCUUGAUCUCAGGGUCGUGUGUUCGAUUCCCAUGUUGGGCA